AUUGAACGCUGGCGGCAUGCCUUACACAUGCAAGUCGAACGGCAGCACGGGAGCAAUCCUGGUGGCGAGUGGCGAACGGGUGAGUAAUAUAUCGGAACGUGCCCGGUCGUGGGGAUAACGUAGCGAAAGCUACGCUAAUACCGCAUACGAUCUACGGAUGAAAGCGGGGGAUCGCAAGACCUCGCGCGAUUGGAGCGGCCGAUAUCAGAUUAGGUAGUUGGUGAGGUAAAGGCUCACCAAGCCGACGAUCUGUAGCUGGUCUGAGAGGACGACCAGCCACACUGGGACUGAGACACGGCCCAGACUCCUACGGGAGGCAGCAGUGGGGAAUUUUGGACAAAUGGGGCGCAAGCCUGAUCCAGCAAUGCCGCGUGCAGGAUGAAGG
Molecule: ribosomal RNA, 385 nt
Filed under: uncultured bacterium
Lineage: Bacteria
Description: bacterial SSU rRNA
Rfam family: Bacterial small subunit ribosomal RNA
Source: RNAcentral